UCCCGCACCCGAUCCCGACCCAGUUGGCGUCGCCCCAGGGACCCCCCCUACCAACCCACUGCCCCGCCCCUGAACCCUCGCGUCGCCGAGGCCCCCGUCCUGACCUCGCGCGCCGCCGCCGCCCUGACCUCGCGCGCCUCCGCCGCCGCCCCAAGAAACCACCAAUUCGGAUUCACCGUCGCCCACCCACACCAGCUCGCCGGUACCACCCCAGACCCCCUAGCCCUCGCCAACAUCUCCACCACCCAGCGCGAACCCUUCACCACCAACUCUGACGUCGUCGUCGCCGCCCACCAUCCAAUGCACCCCUGCUGCAUCUACCGUCCCGCGUGAGCACCGGUGCGCAUGGAUCCGGCAGGAUCCCGACCUGACUGGGCCAGGGUUGAUAUUCGCAGGCACUGGGGUCAUCGCGGACUGCGCCCCAGCCGUCGCCGUGGACUUCUCCGCAUCGCCGGCGGUAGCAGCAAUAGAAACUGGUGCUGGUUGGGACGGCCCGACAUGGAACUCCCACUGUCAGUGCCGUGCCACCAAGAUGAGGAAUCAGGUUCAGACAUUCCCAAACCCCACGCCUAGCGGAGUAUUUUUUACAAGAGAGGAACCAAGUUGCGUACCUGGUCGGGCAUGACCUCCCAGUUGAUACCGCUGAUGUUGAUCCCGACGUAGAGGCAAGCCUUGUAGUGGGCAUUCACGAUGUCGCGCCCGAACACCUUGUCGGCGCCGGCGGUGCAGUAGUUUGGCCCCUGCACAAAUGCACACAAUCAAUAUCAUCUGAAAACCUACUACCUCCAGUGAACUGUGGACAAUUUUGAGUUCAAGAACAUAUUUGUUUUAUGUUUUAUAUGUAAGCUUGAACAGAUUUGUUGAGAAUUUUCUUGCCUGAGGGCCAUGGUAGCCACCAAUGGGCCAACGAAGAGAUAAGGAUACGAAGGCUCCCUUGCAGAGAGUUGGCUCUGGUCGUGCUUGAGGCCGCCGUUGCUUAUGGCCGCUGUACACCAAGUGCAAAGACGUUUUAUGAAAAGUUCUAGUACAGCUAUAUGGUGGCCGCCCUGAAGUUCUACUAUGGAUGUAAGCAAAGGUCUACAACGGCUAUACGCCGACUGUCACGCUAGUUUGCAUGACUUGCUGCUGCAGGUUGUAACCUUUCAACCUUUUAGCUUGUUGUUUUGAAGUCUCUAUUGAACGUUCUUCUGAACUUGUGAUAUGAAGCUGCUACUUUUGUGAUCGAUUGGAUAUAUACAGAGGCCUGCUCUCAAUUUCUCUUCUCCCAGGCGUGUGUAGCUGGUGGCUUGUGCGGAAUCAACUCACAUAGUCUUCCAAAUUUCCAAAAGAACCGAAGUUCAGUUUCUAUCAAGUUACAAGUUCAGAGUUUAUUUCUGUAAUAUCUGAAGAAGACUAGCAAAAGAUUAUACUGCUCACUGCACAAAAAGAAAACUUGUACUUCUCUCUACUCGUCUCUCCCCGUGAACCAUGAUGUCCAGUAGUUUGUGAAGCAUGAUGUUAACUACAAAAUGUAUAGUAGUUUAUGAACCUUGAUAUUAACUGAUUUUUUUUUGCAGCGCGGCGUAUUGCUGGUGGAGCUGGUGUCUGUGCAACAUCAUGUGUCAGUUCCUUGUUGACACGGGCGGAGACGCUCACGACGUUGAAGCUGCAGAGCAUUAUACGUUGUUGUCAAGUUGGCUCACAUAUAUUGGAAUAAGGAAAAAUGGCUGAAGGUCAAAAGAAAUUGUUCGAGAAGGUCAAAAGCAUGUCAAAGUAUAUUUUCUGGAACACCAACACUCUCUCGAAAUCAAUGCUGGCAAGUUUUGGCACCUGCGUUCUGCAGAACAAAAGAAACGUUCUGUCUUUGUUGUUCCAUGCCGCCGAAUUAUUGAACGAAUUGAUGGACGCCAUGGGCCGAGAACAAAAUUUGAAGAAAUUAAUUGAAGACUGCGUUGACUCUUGAAUCUUGAUGGAUCCAUGUAUGCAUGUGCACAACUAAAGUUCAACUAUGGAGUGGAGAGCCGGAGGACGGCGAGCGUCAGCGUGAUGGAGGAUUGUGGGCCAACUCAAAUGCCAUGCACCGGAAUCAUGUGGUGCUGUUCAUAUAUAACCAGCAGAGGAGUUCAAAGAAUCUUAACUUGUUGCAUUUCAUAGAAAAACAGUGGAAAAGCAUGAACUAGCUAGGUGUGUUAGUUCAAAUAUGUAUCACAUCAUCAACUUGAAACAAUAUGUCAUUCGCAAAACAUUUGGGGA
Molecule: long non-coding RNA, 2232 nt
Organism: Triticum aestivum (bread wheat)
Lineage: Eukaryota; Viridiplantae; Streptophyta; Magnoliopsida; Poales; Poaceae
Exons: 2
Source: RefSeq, a predicted model, not a curated record